Molecule: long non-coding RNA, 5571 nt
Filed under: Equus caballus (horse)
Lineage: Eukaryota; Metazoa; Chordata; Mammalia; Perissodactyla; Equidae
Description: lncRNA (ENSECAG00000058207.1)
Source: RNAcentral
AGACAGCCCAUAACAGAGGGAGAAAGAGGGAGAGAGAGAGAGAGAGGGAGGAACGAUGAAGCAGACGUGGCAGAGUGUCGCGGGUUUGCAGGAGUUCCUGGUCCUAGUCUUGCAACUCACCUAUGAGGAAACUGAGGCGCAGAGAGGGGAUGCGACCUCCCCAAGGUCACACAGCAGUGCACUUGGGCAGUGGGGCUGCAGAAUCCACUCUUAAACUCUACCCGACAAUGCUUGUCUGUGCUCGCCGUCCUUCUGGCCUCUCUUCUUAAUGAUGGAAGAUAUCACACUAGCAGUUGGGGGAUUGAGGCUGAGUGACGGGAGUGGAAGGUUUGAGAAGAGAGGAGAGCCACCAGCCGCCGCCUUGGAGAGGAGACCUUACUAGAAAAACAGGAGGGCUACGGGUUUGAGGUUUGUGGUGCUGGGUUUGCUGUGAAAUCCGGGAGGCUGGCUGUUUGCCUAUUUUCUGCAUCGCGGUGAGGAACGGCUUUGGCAGGAGCAGGAGGAGAAAAGUGGCCCCUCCUCAGCUCACCGUCCAUCUGCUGAUCCUCCCUGCUCCCUGAGCCCUGGAAACUGGCGCCGGCUGGCCCGUCUGUCCUUCCAGCCAACCGCCUGGAUCCAAGUGAGCUAAGCUCGGGGGACCGAGCAUGUCCCCAGGCCGCGUGGGAGGGAAGGGCCUGGAAGGAUGUCACAGACCAGAGUCCAAAGGAAAUGAAUUCCAUGCCAGGAACGGGGAGCCCAGGGCAGGGGGCGGGGAGCUGUGGGGCUGGAGGGAAUGUGAGGGCCUCCAAGGUGGCCGGGGAGGUUUCUCUCUCAGCGCCAGAGAAAGCAGGGCCUGUGGCCGGUCCCCUCCCGCAGUCCCGGCGAGUCACGGAAAGACCCAGGGUUCUGCGGUGAGCCGGCCCUGAGCUGGAAUCUCAGCGCUGUGGUUUCUUGGCUGGAUGCGACUUUAGGGACUCUGAUGGGCUGAGCUCCGUAUAAAUCCUCAGAAUGUCGCUUCACAGAUGUGAUCAAGUUAAGGAGAGUGAGACAGGGAGCUGAUCCUGGAUGAUCCAGGCGGCCCAGUGUGAUCCAAAGUGUCGUCAUAAAGAAAAGAGGGAGGCAGGAGGGCUGACGCAGAGACGGAGGUGCCAGGAGGGAGCAGAGACUGACGGACGCGAGAAAGGGCCCUGAGCCAGGAGUCCAGCGGCCUCUGGAAACUGGAAAGAGCAAGAAAACGAUUCUUCGCUGGAGCCUCCAGAAGGAAUCAUUCUAGACUUCCAGGCUCCAGAACUUAAGACGAUAAAUGCGUGUCGUUUGAAGCCACUGAGUUUGUGGUGAUCUGUUACAGUCGCAGAAACUUGCUGGGGUAAGUUUCUUCAUCCCCCCCGAGCCUCAGUUUUCUCAGUCCAUGAAUUGGGGCUCACUGACUCCUCACGGCGUUGUCACCCCCGUGGAUGCACGGAUGCAUGGACGCACUGGACAUGCAUAGGAUGGUGGCCGGCACCCAGUAAAUGCUCGAGAAACAUCAGCUCUCCUGCCCUCAAAAUGGAGAUAAACCGUUCGUUUAUCUGACAAACAUUCAUGGAACGCCUACAAUGUCACGGCCAGCGUUCUGAGUGCUGGAGAUGCCGCGUGAACAAGACAGGCCGGCACUCUGGCCCUCGGGAGCUUCCAUUCCAGAGAGAGAGAAGAACAAGAGAAAUGAGGACACACUGUGGGAUUUCGGACGGUGAAGAUCAUGGAGUCACAGAUUCCCAGAGGUUGUCCCCCAGGCUGUAAAUUCCACACCCUACGACGAGGAGUCCUCCUCACCCCCUACAGGAUGCUCUGCUUCCUCCUUAUGUCGGACUCUCCCGUUCUUCAUCUCCUUCAUGACCCUGAACUCCAGCGGUUACUAUGGUAACUCAACCGCCAUGCCCGGCCCCCUUCUUUACCACCCGCCUCUGCUUCCAAGGCUGAAAACCAGGGACUCAGUUUCCCAGCAUCCUUUGCUACCAGUGACAGUCAUGUGACAGCAUGGUGGCCAAUGAGAUGAAAGCAGAAGUCAGCUGGGAGGCUUCUGGGAAGCCUUGGUGGUUCUUCCCUUCUUCCUGCCUUGAAUGUGGAUGUGAUGGUCAGAGUUGUGGCAGCCAUCCUGUGGUCAUGAGGCAACAGGCACGAAAGUCAACAUGCUAAGGGUGGUGAGGCAGAGAGACAGAAAGAACCCGAGAUGUCAGCUGUCAGUGAAUUAACGCCUGAAACCUCCUUCUUCCAGAUUUUUUUUGUGUGAGAAAAAUAAGUACCUGUUUGUUGACAUCAUUGAUUCCUGUUAACUUGCAGUCAAACACAUUCUCUGAUGAUUUUCUUCCAGGAGGGAAACUGGGCCCAGAGAGCCAUGGGAUGGUACUCAACAUGUCACGGACCGUUGCUGGAGGUGCCAGGACAGGACUGCAGGAGGGGACAGUGUGAGAUCUCAGACCUUAAAACCAGAGAGAGAGGCGGCCUCCAUUCUUUUUUGGGGAAAAUAAGAAUUUGGGGACUAUGAGUUUAAAAUGUGCCAGGAUCUCUUCCUGAAGAAAAACUUGGUCUCAGAUUCAAAAUAUAAAACCAACAGGCGGAGACACGCAGGGAGGGCAGACUCGGAGAAGCAUUGGAAUUCCCAGGUGUCCUUUGGGUGCCAAACAAAGAAACAAGCGAUAAAACCACACUGCUCUGCCCACAUUGUAUUCCCAAGAACCAACUCUGCCUUUUUUACAGAAGCCUGAGCUUCUGUAGUUUAAAAGUAAAAUAGCCAUGCCCAGUGGUGUAGCAGUUAAGUUUGUGCACUCCAUUUUGGUGGCCCAGGGUUCAUGGGUUCAGAUCCUGGCUGUGAACCUAGCACCACUCAUCAAGCCAUAGUGUGGUGGCAGUCCUGCAUACAAAAUAGAAGAAGAUUGGCACCGAUGUUAGCUCAGGGCCAAUCUUCCUCAGCAAAAAAAAAAAAAAAAAAAGUAAAAUAGCCCAGUAAAGACAGCCUCUUAGUUUGAUGUGAUCAACACAUAGGGAAGGUGAUUCCUAUCAGUUCACCCUGGAAAGACACUACAUGAAUUUUAUACCAGAACCUGCAUGUGGCUGCGCAGCCCAGAGCUGGGGAAGGAGUGUGUGUCUCUCCAUCAGGUCGACUUCACCUGGGGGACCCAGAGGCCUCAUUUCUCCACUUGUAUCAGUCAGUCGGGGUAACGUUAGCUGCUGUAACAAACAAGCUCGAAAAUGUGAAACGGCUCAAACAAUGACAGAAGUUGAUUGUUGCUCGUGGAAAGUCGUGGUUUUUCUUGAUCAGCCGGUGGUUUUCCUCAAGGUGUGACUCAGAAACCCGGGUUCCUGCCACCGCCUGGCUCCUCCAUCUCCAACGCUUGGCUUCCAAGGUGGCCCCAGGGGUCGUCUCUGUUCCAGUCGGCUUGAAAGAGAGAAGUGAAUAGAGGGUGAUGGUGGGAGGCUUUAACCGGCCAGCCCGGGUAGUGUGCACGUCCUUUCCAGUCAUGUCCUGUUGCUUAGAACUCAGUCACGUGGUCACACCUAAUGGAAGGGAGGCUGGGGGUGUUGUGCAGAGCUGUGCAUAGCGGCACAAGGAAACAGUCCUGCAGGACCACCAGCCUCUGCUGGUCUUCAUAGUCCUGAAAUAGUAAUAAUAAGAUGCAACUACAGGGGCCGGCCCAGUGGCGCAGCAGUUAAGUGCGCAUGUUCUGCUUCUUGGCAGCCUGGGGUUCGCCGGUUCAGAUCCCGGGUGCGGACAUGGCACCGCUUGGCAAGCCAUGCUGUGGCAGGCGUCCCACAUAUGAAGUGGAGGAAGAUGGGCACGGGUGUGAGCUCAGGGCCAGUCUUCCUCAGCAAAAAGAGGAGGAUUGGUGGCAGAUGUUAGCUCAGGGCCAAUCUUCCUCAGGAAAAAAAAAAAGAUGCAACUACAAAAAUAGGAAAAUGGUGGUGGUGUGGUGAACUGUGAUGUUGGUCUAGCCAGCAUCCUUCUUCCAGCAGCUCCAGCCUUCAUGUUCCUCAGGAAACCACGCCUCUCGCUGUCUCUUCCAUGUGAUUCCCACGGCACUGACUCCAUUUCCGUCCCUGGGUCAGCACACGACCCACGCACAGUCAAGCAACGCUCAAGCUGGGACUUUUCCUGGAGUGACUGAGACACGGAGGCUGUCUUUCCUCUUCAUACUGGAUGAAUCUGGGAAGACAGGAGCCUUGAGCGGCUGGGAGCCUACCUGUGAAAAGAGCCAACACAGAAGAAACUCUAGAGUCAGAGGGAGACAGAUUCUGAGGACAUUAUCUCGCACCUGGAUUCAGCCAUGCCUGAAGUCAACCAUCCCUGAGUUAUGUUAGCCAAUAAAAUUCUUUAUGAAAAAUUUUAUUUCUCUUAAGCCAAUUUGGACUGUAGCUCUAUUAUUUGCAACCAAAUGAUGUCCAACUAAUAAAUUUAUUGACAUUCCCAAUACUACUACUGGCCAUAAUAAUAAAAAGUUACAUAAUGCUUACCGCAUGCAAGCCACUUAACCUGCAUUAACUCAUUUACCUUUUUUUUUUUUUUUUUUUUUUUGCUGAGGAAGAUUCACCCUGAGCUAACAUCUGUGCCAAUCUUCCUCUUCUUUAUAUGUGGAUCACCGCCUCAGCAUACCUGACGAGUGGUGUAGGUGUAGGUCCACCCCUGGGAUCUGAACCCGUGAACCUGGGCCGCUGAAGUGGAGUGCGCGAACUUAACCACUACACUGUGGGGCUGGCCCCCUGCGAGAACACAUUUAAUCUCCAUGACAACCCUAGGAGGGUCAUUCUAUUAUCCCUGUUUUACGGCAGAGGAUGCUGAGGCUCAGAGAGGUUAAGAAAAGCUGGCAAUGUUCGUACAGCUAGUAAGCAGAGAACUUGAGUCCAAACUCAAGCGUUCUUGGCUGAUUUAUUAGUUACACAUGCAAAAAAUUCAUUGAACUACAAGCCAGACGUUGUUCUAGGCCACUUAGGAUGCAGCAGUGAACAGAAACUAAAAGAAAAUUCCUGCCCUCGUGGAGCUUACAUUCUAGUAGGAGCAGGCAAAUAACAAGCAAAAACCAUAAAUAUGUAAAUGAUACAGUAAGUAAGAAAGUGAAAAGUGGUGAGGAUGUAAGAGGUCGGAGAUGGGGGUAUUUUUUUGGUCAGAUUAUGUCUUAUUGAAAAGGUAACAUUUGAGCAAAGACUUAAAGGAAAUGAGAGAGUAAGUCAUGGAAAUAUCUGAGGCAACAUCAGUUUAGGCAGAGGGAACAGCCAGUGCAAAGGGCCUGAGGCAGCACUGUGCCUACUGCAAUGAAAAAAAAAAAAAGGCCAGAGUAGCCAGGGCAGAGUAAGGAAGACAGAGAGUGAAGGGAGAUGGAGUCAAAGAGGUAAAUAGAAGGCACAAUGAGGAGACCAUGAUGAGAACCUGAGCUUUUACUCUGAGGGGUUCUGAACAGAGAGGGACGUGAUCUGACGUAGGUGUUAACAGGAGCCCUCCGGCUGCAUGUGGGGAAUCUUUUACAGAGGAGCCAGAGGUUGCUAGAUAUAACAAAUAAAAAUACAGGAUGCCCAGGGAAAUUUAAAUUUCAGAUAAACGAGGAGUAAUACUUUAGUGAUAAG